AGAAAGGGAGUGAGGCUAGGGUUUGGAUUUGAUGCAGAUCUGAAGGACCUCAUUCGUUGCACGAAUCUUAAACAUUGGAAGAUGGAUAGGAAUUCCGGGUGAGGUGUCCAUGGAGUCCAAACAUACAGUAGUAGUAGAAAGGCCGGUGGGCCCUGUGUGAUGAUGUGUAUCAAUACGCGGCGGGAUAAGCCCAAGUUCUUCCCCCAAGCACCUGACGGCUCGGCCCAGGCCCAUCAGUUAGGAACGGCACGCACGUGACGGUGCUCUGUGCAUAUCUGCAUAUCAGUGGCAUGUGCAAUGUUUACUGACACGUGGGCCUAAUCUGACAGUUGGCUACAUAUUGCAAAUUUUUUGCGGAACCGUACGUACCAGUAAUCCAGUAUCCCUGUGCCUAGAAGCGCAGGUGUAGCCGUGACUCA
Molecule: long non-coding RNA, 419 nt
Filed under: Setaria italica (foxtail millet)
Lineage: Eukaryota; Viridiplantae; Streptophyta; Magnoliopsida; Poales; Poaceae
Description: long non-coding RNA (SITA_LNC005410)
Source: RNAcentral